This 301-nucleotide ribosomal RNA is filed under the name uncultured bacterium. Its description in RNAcentral is "partial 16S ribosomal RNA". It matches the Rfam family "Bacterial small subunit ribosomal RNA", at positions 509 to 809 of the family's 1533-position model. The record is from RNAcentral.
CAGUAGCCGCGGUAAUACGUAGGGGGCAAGCGUUAUCCGGAUUUACUGGGUGUAAGGGGAGCGUAGACGGAAUGGCAAGUCUGAAGUGAAAUGCCCGGGCUCAACCCGGGAACUGCUUUGGAAACUGUCGAUCUGGAGUGUUGGAGAGGUAAGUGGAAUUCCUGGUGUAGCGGUGAAAUGCGUAGAGAUCAGGAAGAAUACCGGAGGCGAAGGCGGCUUACUGGACAAAGACUGACGUUGAGGCUCGAAAGCGUGGGAAGCAAACAGGAUUAGAUACCCGAGUAGUCCAUGUCUCUUAUAA